ACGACCUUACUUGAACAGGAUCUGUUCUAUAGGCUCGUACCUCUGUAUCCUUGAGUUCUAAGGAGACAGGAACCUCAGUCUGGUGGAUGAAUCAUGGCCGUGCGAUCAGAGCGAGAUUAAUAGCUUGACCGGCCUCGGUUGGUUAGUGCUGUAGAGGAUCGUUCUCAACCGAGCUCUAGGCUCGUUUGGGAUGGUCGCACGGUUGUCUGACAGACA
This is a small nucleolar RNA of Vitis vinifera (wine grape), 216 nucleotides long. It matches the Rfam family "Plant small nucleolar RNA U3". Rfam says of the family: Small nucleolar RNAs (snoRNAs) are involved in the processing and modification of rRNA in the nucleolus. There are two main classes of snoRNAs: the box C/D class, and the box H/ACA class. Lineage: Eukaryota; Viridiplantae; Streptophyta; Magnoliopsida; Vitales; Vitaceae. The record is from Rfam.